GCGGGGUUCGCUUUCUGGGAGAGCGCCUGCCCUACAAGCAGGACGAGCUGGGUUCGAUUCCCAGGCCCCGCACCA
RNAcentral lists this transfer RNA (75 nucleotides) under Myxococcales bacterium. RNAcentral's name for it is "tRNA-Val". It matches the Rfam family "tRNA". Rfam says of the family: Transfer RNA (tRNA) molecules are approximately 80 nucleotides in length. Their secondary structure includes four short double-helical elements and three loops (D, anti-codon, and T loops). Lineage: Bacteria; Pseudomonadati; Myxococcota; Myxococcia; Myxococcales. The record is from RNAcentral.